CCUACGGGAGGCAGCAGUGGGGAAUAUUGGGCAAUGGGCGAAAGCCUGACCCAGCAACGCCGCGUGAAGGAAGAAGGCUUUCGGGUUGUAAACUUCUUUUGACAGGGAAGAGCAGAAGACGGUACCUGUCGAAUAAGCCACGGCUAACUACGUGCCAGCAGCCGCGGUAAUACGUAGGUGGCAAGCGUUGUCCGGAUUUACUGGGGGUAAAGGGCGUGUAGCCGGGCUGACAAGUCAGAUGUGAAAUCCGGGGGCUCAACCCCCGAACUUCUUUUGAAACUGUUGGUCUUGAGUAUCGGAGAGGCAGGCGGAAUUCCUAGUGUAGCGGUGAAAUGCGUAGAUAUUAGGAGGAACACCAGUGGCGAAGGCGGCCUGCUGGACGACAACUGACGGUGAGGCGCGAAAGCGUGGGGAGCAAACAGGAUUAGAUACCCGAGUAGUC
Molecule: ribosomal RNA, 442 nt
Filed under: uncultured bacterium
Lineage: Bacteria
Description: partial 16S ribosomal RNA
Rfam family: Bacterial small subunit ribosomal RNA
Source: RNAcentral